GAGUUUGAUCAUGGCUCAGGAUGAACGCUGGCGGCGUGCCUAACACAUGCAAGUCGAACGAAGCGAUUUUGCGGAAGUUUUCGGAUGGAAGUAAAAUUGACUGAGUGGCGGACGGGUGAGUAACGCGUGGGUAACCUGCCUCACACCGGGGGACAACAGUUAGAAAUGACUGCUAAUACCGCAUAAAGCGCACAGUACCGCAUGGUAUGGUGUGAAAAACUCCGGUGGUGUGAGAUGGACCCGCG
RNAcentral lists this ribosomal RNA (245 nucleotides) under uncultured bacterium. RNAcentral describes it as "partial 16S ribosomal RNA". It matches the Rfam family "Bacterial small subunit ribosomal RNA", at positions 9 to 235 of the family's 1533-position model. The record is from RNAcentral.